CCUACGGGAGGCUGCAGUGGGGAAUAUUGCGCAAUGGGCGAAAGCCUGACGCAGCGACGCCGCGUGAGGGAUGAAGGUCUUCGGAUCGUAAACCUCUGUCAGCAGUGAAGAACGGUCACUGUGCUAAUCAGCAGUGAAUUGACGGGACCUGCAAAGGAAGCACCGGCUAACUCCGUGCCAGCAGCCGCGGUAAUACGGAGGGUGCGAGCGUUGAUCGGAAUUACUGGGCGUAAAGCGCUCGUAGGCGGUAUGUCAAGUCAAGGGGGAAAUCCCCGCGCUCAACGUGGGAACUGCCGUUGAAACUGGCAAACUGGAGUGUGGGAGAGGAUAGUGGAAUUCCAGGUGUAGGAGUGAAAUCCGUAGAUAUCUGGAGGAACAUCAGUGGCGAAGGCGACUAUCUGGCACAUAACUGACGCUGAGGAGCGAAAGCGUGGGUAGCAAACAGGAUUAGAUACCCCUGUAGUC
Molecule: ribosomal RNA, 465 nt
Filed under: uncultured bacterium
Lineage: Bacteria
Description: partial 16S ribosomal RNA
Rfam family: Bacterial small subunit ribosomal RNA
Source: RNAcentral